RNAcentral lists this ribosomal RNA (301 nucleotides) under uncultured bacterium. RNAcentral's name for it is "partial 16S ribosomal RNA". It matches the Rfam family "Bacterial small subunit ribosomal RNA", at positions 509 to 807 of the family's 1533-position model. The record is from RNAcentral.
CAGUCGCCGCGGUAAUACGGAGGGUGCAAGCGUUAAUCGGAAUUACUGGGCGUAAAGCGCACGCAGGCGGUCUGACAAGUCAGAUGUGAAAUCCCCGGGCUUAACCUGGGAACUGCAUUUGAAACUGGCAAGCUAGAGUCUUGUAGAGGGGGGUAGAAUUCCAGGUGUAGCGGUGAAAUGCGUAGAGAUCUGGAGGAAUACCGGUGGCGAAGGCGGCCCCCUGGACAAAGACUGACGCUCAGGUGCGAAAGCGUGGGGAGCAAACAGGAUUAGAGACCCCUGUAGUCCCUGUCUCUUAUAC